RNAcentral lists this ribosomal RNA (386 nucleotides) under uncultured bacterium. RNAcentral's name for it is "bacterial SSU rRNA". It matches the Rfam family "Bacterial small subunit ribosomal RNA", at positions 998 to 1383 of the family's 1533-position model. The record is from RNAcentral.
CGCUAGAGAUAGCUUAGUGCCUUCGGGAACUCUGAGACAGGUGCUGCAUGGCUGUCGUCAGCUCGUGUUGUGAAAUGUUGGGUUAAGUCCCGCAACGAGCGCAACCCUUAUCCUUAUUUGCCAGCACGUAAUGGUGGGAACUCUAGGGAGACUGCCGGUGAUAAACCGGAGGAAGGUGGGGACGACGUCAAGUCAUCAUGGCCCUUACGAGUAGGGCUACACACGUGCUACAAUGGUCGGUACAGAGGGUUGCAAAGCCGCGAGGUGGAGCUAAUCUCACAAAGCCGAUCGUAGUCCGGAUUGGAGUCUGCAACUCGACUCCAUGAAGUCGGAAUCGCUAGUAAUCGUGGAUCAGAAUGCCACGGUGAAUACGUUCCCGGGUCUUG